This 253-nucleotide ribosomal RNA is filed under the name uncultured bacterium. RNAcentral's name for it is "partial 16S ribosomal RNA". It matches the Rfam family "Bacterial small subunit ribosomal RNA", at positions 524 to 776 of the family's 1533-position model. The record is from RNAcentral.
UACGGAGGGGGCUAGCGUUGUUCGGAAUUACUGGGCGUAAAGCGCGCGUAGGCGGACCUGCAAGUCGGGGGUGAAAGCCCGAGGCUCAACCUCGGAACUGCCUUCGAUACUGCGGGUCUCGAGUCCGGGAGAGGUGAGUGGAAUUCCUAGUGUAGAGGUGAAAUUCGUAGAUAUUAGGAAGAACACCCGUGGCGAAGGCGGCUCUCUGGUACGUGACUGACGCUGAGACGCGAAAGCGUGGGGAGCGAACAGG